RNAcentral lists this ribosomal RNA (497 nucleotides) under uncultured bacterium. RNAcentral describes it as "partial 16S ribosomal RNA". It matches the Rfam family "Bacterial small subunit ribosomal RNA", at positions 28 to 507 of the family's 1533-position model. The record is from RNAcentral.
GAUGAACGCUGGCGGCGUGCCUAAUACAUGCAAGUCGAGCGAACAGACGAGGAGCUUGCUCCUCUGACGUUAGCGGCGGACGGGUGAGUAACACGUGGAUAACCUACCUAUAAGACUGGGAUAACUUCGGGAAACCGGAGCUAAUACCGGAUAAUAUAUUGAACCGCAUGGUUCAAUGGUGAAAGACGGUUUUGCUGUCACUUAUAGAUGGAUCCGCGCCGCAUUAGCUAGUUGGUAAGGUAACGGCUUACCAAGGCAACGAUGCGUAGCCGACCUGAGAGGGUGAUCGCCCACACUGGAACUGAGACACGGUCCAGACUCCUACGGGAGGCAGCAGUAGGGAAUCUUCCGCAAUGGGCGAAAGCCUGACGGAGCAACGCCGCGUGAGUGAUGAAGGUCUUCGGAUCGUAAAACUCUGUUAUUAGGGAAGAACAAAUGUGUAAGUAACUAUGCACGUCUUGACGGUACCUAAUCAGAAAGCCACGGCUAACUACGUG